GACCACGUGAGGCGGGCCCGUGACGUGCAUCUGAUGACGUGAGGCGGGGCCGCCGCGGCCGACGGGAGGAGCAGCGGGAGCUCAGGGUUUAGGAGCCGUUGCUGUGGACGGAGAGACGGGGACGUGAGCAGCCAUUGAGGGCGGCCAGGGUGCCGGUGAGCCACCCCCCCAAUCUGCUCUGUGUGCGGGCUGAGCUUCGAGGGGCUGAGAAUCGAUGGACCACCACAUGAAAGGGCACAACAAGGAGAAGCGUUAUGAGUGUGACGUGUGUGGCAAGGCCUGGCAGCACCCGAGCCAGCUGGAGAACCACUGGCGGGUUCACACGGGAGAACGCCCCUUCACCUGCUCCGACUGCGGCAAAGGCUUCAAGUGGUCCACGGAACUGAAGGUGCACAUGCGCCUGCACACCGGGGAGCGGCCCUACACCUGCAGCCACUGUGGCAAGGGCUUCACCCUCUCCAGCAACAUGCUGAGGCACCAGCGCACCCACACUGACGAGCGCCCCUUCACCUGCGCCCAGUGCGGCAAGGGCUUCACUUGCUCCAACCACCUCCUGAGGCACCAGCGCACCCACACCGGCGAGCGCCCCUUCAACUGCGCCCAGUGCGGCAAAUGCUUUACUCGCUCCUGCCACCUGCUGUUGCAUCAGCGCACCCACACCGGGGAGCGGCCCUACAUCUGCGCCCAGUGCGGCAAGGGCUUCACCCUCUCCAGCAACCUGCUGAGGCACCAGAGCAUCCACACCGGCAAGCUCCUCUUCAUCUGUGCCCAGUGCGGCAAGGGCUUCACCUUCUACAGCAACCUGCUGAGGCACCAGUACAUCCACACUGGCAAGCGCCCCUUCAUCUGCGCCCAGUGCGGCAAGGGCUUCACUCGCUCCACCUAUCUGCGGUCCCACCAGCAGGUGCACGCCGGCGACCGUCCGGUCCCCAGCCCUGUGUGUGAAGAGCGCUUUGCCACGACCUCCCACGCCCUGUCUCACCAGCGCAUGCACACCAGUGGCCAGCCCUACAACUGCCCGUACUGCGGGGAGGCAUUCGACAGCUCGCAUGAGUUGCAGCAGCACCGGCAGGAUCACGACGGCGAGCGACUGCUCCCAUUGCGGCAAGCGUUUCAAGAGUGCACGGAGGCUGCGGGGGAACCAGCGGAUACACACCGGAGAGAGACCCUUAGUGUGUGCUGAGUGUGGCAAGGCUAUGGCAGCACCGACGUACCCACAGCGUCUCCCCCCUGCAUUGUCGUUCACUUUUGCACGUCUUGAGUGGUUUGUGGUCCAUGGAGAGAGGGGGAGAGAGAGAGGGAGGGGGAGGGACAGGAAAUGUGAGGGGUGGGGUUACUCUCUGUUCUCUGACGUCUCAUUACAUCUCCAUCUGCACCCGGCUACGAGACAGAGAGAGAGACGGAGAGAACGAGGGUUGCGGACGAUGUCGUUUGUCCGAAUCUCGUGGCCGCUCAUCUUCCUCGUUCUGACCUCAGGCUUCGGCCUGAUCCAGGCCCCGCCCUCUGACCCCGGCAACCGGGGGGCCGCGUCCCCGGACAAAGAUGGAGUAGGGCCCCAGGAGAAGAUGGCCGCCGCGAGGUCAGGGGUCGGCGACCGCACCGUGAUCCCACUCAUGCUCCUCUUGGUCUUCCUGACCUUGGCGGCUAUCUUGGCCGGAGCUUGGACUCAAUUCAAGACCCUCGGAGGGGGAGGGGGAGGAGGGGGAGUGGUGGGGUGGU
Amblyraja radiata (thorny skate) is the source of this 1719-nucleotide RNA transcript. It is a transcript of the gene named zinc finger protein 239-like, with no coding region annotated. NCBI's taxonomy places the organism in Eukaryota, Metazoa, Chordata, Chondrichthyes, Rajiformes, Rajidae. The transcript is spliced from 4 exons. The record is from RefSeq and is a predicted model, not a curated record.